This 413-nucleotide long non-coding RNA is filed under the name Vigna radiata. RNAcentral's name for it is "long non-coding RNA (VRAD_LNC002365)". Lineage: Eukaryota; Viridiplantae; Streptophyta; Magnoliopsida; Fabales; Fabaceae. The record is from RNAcentral.
CCUUCUCAUACUCCACUCGCUCAAGUUCAAGAGUGGAGUUUAGAGAGUUUCCUCCAACAUCAUCUGACCAAGUUUCAUGGCAAGGUAAGUCUAAAUGAGGUGAACAAGUGGUGAGAGAUACAGUGUGAUGAGACUAUAUGAGAAAGUGAAUGUUAUGUGUCGGGUGUUUGGAAAAAGAGGAGAUGUGUGUAUGGAGAAAAAAAAGAGAAACAAAAAGGUGGAACUGCUAACCUGUGUUGAGUUGCUUCAAACAAAAAAAAAAUUGAGGAGAAUACAGUAAGCGAGCUGGCUUACCCCACCACGUCCCAGAUCCGCGUGGGCUACUAGGUUAUACAGAUUGAACCUAAACGAAUUAACGAAUUCAAAAUCCUAAUUUAUUUUGUGUUUUUUUAAUGUGGUUUGUCAGGUAACUC